GUCUACGGCCAUGCCACCCUGAACACGCCCGAUCCCGUCUGAUCUCGCAAGCUAAGCAGGGUCAGGCCUGGUUAGUACUUGGAUGGGAGACCACCUAGGCAGACCAGGUGCUGUAGGCA
This 119-nucleotide ribosomal RNA is filed under the name Pteropus alecto (black flying fox). Lineage: Eukaryota; Metazoa; Chordata; Mammalia; Chiroptera; Pteropodidae. The record is from RNAcentral.